RNAcentral lists this ribosomal RNA (379 nucleotides) under uncultured cyanobacterium. RNAcentral's name for it is "bacterial SSU rRNA". It matches the Rfam family "Bacterial small subunit ribosomal RNA", at positions 376 to 770 of the family's 1533-position model. The record is from RNAcentral. Lineage: Bacteria; Bacillati; Cyanobacteriota.
GGCAACCCUGACGGAGCAACGCCGCGUGGGGGAGGAAGGUCUGUGGAUUGUAAACCCCUUUUCUCUGGGAAGAAGUUCUGACGGUACCUGAGGAAUCAGCCUCGGCUAACUCCGUGCCAGCAGCCGCGGUAAUACGGAGGAGGCAAGCGUUAUUCGGAAUUAUUGGGCGUAAAGCGUCCGCAGGGGGCUCAUCAAGUCUGCUGUCAAAGGUCGGAGCUCAACUCCGGUUCGGCAGUGGAAACUGGUGGGCUAGAGGGCGACAGGGGUAGAGGGAAUUCCCAGUGUAGCGGUGAAAUGCGUAGAGAUUGGGAAGAACACCGGUGGCGAAAGCGCUCUACUGGGUCGCACCUGACCCUCAGGGACGAAAGCUAAGGUAGCG